GGGGCCGCCCGGUUUUGACAGCAUAGGUCUUUGAAGGUGUAAGCAUGUAGUGCGUUGGAUUGUCGGCACUUUAAUCUUAAAAUUCAAAAUACAAACGGCGAUACACAAUUCGCAAUGGCUGCUUAAUUUAAGCCCCCAUUAACAGGUCGUUCAUUUCGGGUAGAUUUAUAACCUACGUUGAACCGCCUUUACCAGAAAAUAUAAAUUGCUGUAAGAAUAGGCUGUGCUUCUUACAAAAGAUUUAUCCAGCUAAGGAAACAAUUGGUUUGUUCUGCUCCGGUGGUUUCCCAACAAUCAAUGCAGAAAUAAACAUGUAGAAAGCUUUUGCAGAAUAUGUUUGGACAGGGGUUCGACUCCCCUCGGCUCCACCC
Molecule: transfer-messenger RNA, 371 nt
Filed under: Chitinophagaceae
Lineage: Bacteria; Pseudomonadati; Bacteroidota; Chitinophagia; Chitinophagales
Also listed under: 1 other name
Description: OLB11 sp016711825 Standard tmRNA
Rfam family: transfer-messenger RNA
About the family: Bacterial tmRNA, also known as 10Sa RNA or SsrA, is named for its dual tRNA and mRNA-like properties. Its role is to liberate the mRNA from a stalled ribosome.
Source: RNAcentral